AACCUGCGAGACUCUGUUCACUGCGAAGAGAAACACUAAAAAUACACCUGCCUUAAUCUUCUUACAGGACCUGUGCUGCCUGAUGGACCACACACACACACACGCACACACACAAAGGCAGAUUGAUCCUUAAGAGCAACCUAAUUCGUCGAAUCAUCUCGUUCCAGGGUCCGCUCGUAUGGUUUCUCUGCUGGAGGGGCUGUGCGGCCCGGACUGUUUGGACGAGAUGAACAUGUCGAGCCGCCUCAGCCUCAACAGCCUGGGUCGCAUCUGCGGAAUCGGACCCAACAACGACACGGUGGUGCUGGACCGGGUCAAGCGGAAGAACUCGGUCAGGCGCAUGUCCAUCAUCGAGGACGGGCAGAUCGCCGAGGUGCUCUACUUGAUCCCCAAGCAGUGCAUGAUGGAGCAGCUGCCGUUCCUCAAUCCCAAUGACUACGUCCUGUGCGAGAAGUUGGCGGGCAUACCUGCUGAUGUGUCAGUGCUUCACACUCACUCUCCCGCACCCAAGCGGGUCAUCAGAUGCGUCAAAUGCAGGGAGGUCUGCAAAGGGGAGGUGCUUCGAGUCCAGUCCAGUCACUUCCACAUCAAAUGUUUCACCUGCAAAGUUUGUGGCUGCGACUUGACCAGGUCGGGCUUCUUCAUAAAGAACGGCGACUGCCUCUGUCCGCUGGACUACCAGAGGCUUCAUGGCACGGUCUGCAACAGCUGCGGGGGAUUUGUGGAGGGAGACGUGGUCGCCGUUUUGGGCAAGACUUAUCACCCGACCUGCUUUGUGUGCACCAUUUGCAAGCAACCUUUUCCCGCGGGUGAUUGCGUCACCUUCAGUGGGAAAGAGUGCAUCUGUCAGCGGUGUGUUAACCCGUUGACCCCUCCGCCAACUGGUAUCAGAUACUCCGACAACUGCAACGGCUGCGGACGCGAUAUCAAGAACGGGCAGGCUUUACUCGCUCUGGGCAGCCAGUGGCACCUCGGCUGCUUCAAGUGCAACAUCUGCACAAAAUUGCUGAGUGGAGAAUACAUCAGCAAGGAUGGCGUUCCAUAUUGUGAGAGGGACUACCAGCUUCAAUUUGGGGUGCAGUGUGACGCAUGUCAGAAGUUUAUAACGGGGAAAGUCCUUGAGGCGGGGGACAAACAUUAUCACCCGGAAUGCGCGAGAUGCAGCCGAUGUGACAAAAUGUUCACCGAGGGCGAAGAAAUGUAUUUGCAAGGCUCAGCAGUGUGGCACCCGGACUGCAGAGAGAGGAGCAGGAACCAUCACAGCAACAGGGUCCGACGAAGCAAAACACCUUGUCUUGAUUUCUUUUACCCUCCGAGUGAACUGAAGUCGACUCUGACUUCGUCCGAAAGCUCCUGCUCCAGACCCGGCUCGUGUACCCCUGGAAGCCCCGGUCGCUCCAUUUGUGCCAAAGUAGAUGAUGAGAUCAUUGAUUACCGAGACUUAGCAGCAAUUCCCAGAGUCAAGGCUAUUUAUGACAUAGAGCAUCCCGAUAUGAUGUCCUAUAAGAGUGACGACCUCACCUCAGCUGCUUUGGACGGCACACGGGACAGAAAAAGCUCUGCCGAGUCUCCAGCAAAUGCAUCCGAGACCACCGAGGAAGGUUACGAGCUGAGGAAAUGCAUUCCCAAAUCGGCGAGCCACGGAUCAUUCGGCGUUCGGUCGUACAGUCGUCACAGCUACACGCCGACGCGAUCGCCUCAACACUUCCACCGGCCCGGCUCAUUAUUUUCUGCCAACGACACCUUGGCAACUUCCUGUCACCUCUUAGCUCCUGACAGCGCAGAUCAAGGUUUCAACAUGUACAGAAAACCUCCAAUUUUCAAGCAGCAAGAUCCAAACUCCACCCAAACGUCCUCUUUGCCUGGAUACAGUUGCAACGGCCUCAGUCCACCACAAUCUACUGAAUUCCUCCGAAGCAGCGGCGACACAUUAAGAGAUUUCAAGCUCCCCCAUGACUGCCUGCAUCCAUUUGCACGAAUGGACAGAGGAGUGUCAAUGCCUAAUUUGCUGGAGCCAAAAGCAAGUCUACCCGUAUGAAAUGCUCACGGUUGCCAACAGGGGGCGUGCGAAACUUCCCAGAGAGGUUGACAGAACAAGAUUAGAGCGUCAUCUGUCCACAGAGUCCUUCUUUGAAAUCUUUGGCAUGACCAUAAGAGAAUUUGACAAACUGCCGCUUUGGAAACGAAACGACAUGAAGAAACAGGCCAAUCUCUUUUAAAUCAUUGCUAUGUUCUUUUAUUUAUUGUCAGAUUGCUCUGACUCCAUCUUCCUCAUGGGGGCACUAGAGCAGCAAAAACAUUUUUUUUUUCUUUCCUCCCUGUCUGUUCAACUUCUCAUAUUGAAGGAUUCCGUGGACUAAAUGAUCUGAGCUAAAAGCUGAAUCAUAGGAAUGUCUGCGCGUGGAAUGUUAUGUUAAAGCAAUCUGGAAGAUCUCAACGCGGGGCUUCCAAUGUUAAGCUUCCCAUCUUACCAUUGCGACACUCAUGCCUCAGUUUAUACUUGCCUUCAGAAAAUUAUACAAGACUUAUUAGGGGAUAUAUAUGUAUAUAUUUCUAAAAUUGCUGCAAUCAUAAUCAUACAUUCAAAGAGAGAAAAUAAAGUGUAUUAGCCUGCCAUAAAAAAAAAAAGUUAUUGAUUGGGCGAUGAUGUCAUGUAUUAGUACUGUAUUGUUUUAAAUCUGCUUACAAAUAUUGAAAGGUAUAUAAAAAUAGCUAUUCAAGCGCUGUAAAAAUAUGAGCCAAAGUGGAUAUUCAUGCCUAUGUGUGUGUUUCACAUUUUAAAAUUAUUUUUGGCUCACGUCCCUAAAGAGUUGCACAUGAAUGCCUCAAAUGAAAAGUACCGGGUUGUCAUUUUCCACUUUCAUGUGGACCUCAAAGAACCAGUUUAUGAUGACAGAUGACUUGAUCUGCUUAUCUGGACUGUGUAGAGAAAGAUACUCUGUAUCUUUUGGGCUAUUAUCCUGUCUGCAGAUUAUUUUGAGCUAAUUUCAAUUACAGUCUAUGAAGAAAGCGGUAGAAAAAGUAUUGCUAUUUCCAUCCUGUUUUCUUCUUUAAUUUUGAAUCUAUUCUUAAAUUAAACCUGCUUUUUGCCUUCUUUACUGUA
RNA transcript from Syngnathus acus (greater pipefish), 3103 nucleotides. It is a transcript of the gene named actin-binding LIM protein 1-like, with no coding region annotated. The transcript has 21 exons. The record is from RefSeq and is a predicted model, not a curated record. Lineage: Eukaryota; Metazoa; Chordata; Actinopteri; Syngnathiformes; Syngnathidae.